GGAGUGUACAGGGGACCAAGCCUACCCCGGGGAUGGAAAAAUCCGGCUGAGACGGCCUGGGCCGCUGCCACGCGCGGGCGUUAUUCUCCACCCACCUGCGGCCUGAAGAUGCCUGAGGCCCGGACUCUCAGACCCCUAUUGCCCUUUGGUGCUGGAGGCCCAGCGGCAGCCUGAAGCCCAAGAGAGUGGAGCCUCGCGAAAUGAGGAACCUGGCACAAGAGACAGGAUUUUUCCAUGUUGCCCAGGCUGAUCUCGAACUCCUGGACUCAAGUGAUUGGCCCCGCCUUGGUCUCCCAAAGUGCUGGGAUUAAAGGCACCAGCCUAAGAUUAUUGUGUAUCGUCAUCAUCCAAUCUCCUUACAGAAGCAUGUAGUAUAUGGAGAAGACAGUUGACCCAUGGAGAACUAUUCUUAGCUCCUCUGCCAGUGACACUAGUCAACUCAUGGGAGAACUUACCAAUUUGGCCUCUCUGAGAAUAAAGAGGAAGAUAAAUUAAUAAGGUGUUCUGGACUUGGAAGAUUUGUUGAAUUACUAUGAAGUCACAUCUAAAGUUUGAAAGAGAUCGGGUCUCACUAUUUUGCCCACGCUGGUCUUGAACUCCUGUCCUCAAGCAGGAUAUCCUCCUGCCUUGGCCUCCCAAAGUUCUGGGAUUACAGUCUCGCUCUGUCGCCAGGCUGGAGUGCACGCUGGAGCGCGAUCUUGUCUUACUACAACCUCUGCCUCCCAGAUUCAAGCGAUUUUCCUGCCUCAGCCUCCCGAGUAGCUGGGACUACAGGGACGCACCACCAUGCCCAGCUAAUUUUUGUAUUUUUAGUAGAGAUGUGGUUUCACCAUGUUGGCCAGGAUGGUCUUGAUCUCUUGACCUCGUGAUCCACCCGCCUCGGCUUCCCAAAGUGCUGGGAUUAUAGGCAUAAGCCACCACGCCUGGCCUGAAAUUAUUUUUCUAUACAGUUCUUAGAGGAAGUGUUUGGGUCACCUACAUAGGCAUGUAGUUCUUGACACUGGUUACUAGAGGAUUUAUAGAGGAUGUUCAUAUAUUCAACAAGCAUUUGUUGAAUACCUAUUAGGUGCUAGCCAUGGAAAUAUGGGAUUGAAAAAAACAGACAAAAAUCCCUAAUCUCUCUUACAAUCUAGUGAGGACAAUCAGACAGUACACAAAAUAAGCAUAAUAUAUAGUAAUCAUGUGGUAGUAAGUUCUAUAGAGCAAAAACAAGUUUAAAGAAGGAGGUUGGGGGGAGUGUUGAGAUGCAUAAGGUUUGCAGUUAUAAAUGUGGUGGUUAGGGAAUCAUUUGCUGAAAAAUGAACAUUGAGCAAAAACCUGAAGGAUGUUAAAGGAAUAAGAUACAUGUAAUCCAGAUGAAAGUUUUUUGGAUAAAGGAAAGAGCAAUUGCUAAAUCCCUGAGGUGGGAGUGGGCUGUUCAUAAGACAGCAAAGCAGCCAGGGUAGCUGAGUGAUUGACAGCGGAAGAUGGAAAAUGGGGAAUAGUUGGUGUAGGACCUAGUUGUGAGGAUAUUGACUUUGUUUUUUUUCCAAGACAGAGCUGUGCUCUGUCGCCCAGGCUAGAGUGCAGUGGCAUGAUCUUGGCUCACUGCAAUCUCCGCCUCCCGGGUUCAAGCAAUGCUCCUGCCUUAGCCUCCCCAGUAGCUGGGAUUACAGGCACCUGCCACCAUGUCCAAUUAAUUUUUGUAUUUUUAGUAGAGAUGGGGUUUCGCCAUGUUAGCCAGGCUGGUCUUGGACUCCUGACCUCAAGUGAUCUGCCCGCCUCAGCCUCCCAAAGUGCUGGGAUUACAGGCGUGAGCCACCAUGCCCACCCUAGGAUAUUUACUUUUAUUUUGAAUAAGGAUGCCACUGGAGGCCAGACGUGGUGGCUAACGCCUAUAAUCCCAGCACUUUGGGAGGACGAGGCGGGUGGAUCACGAGGUUAGGAGAUUGAGACCAUCCUGGCCAACAUGGUGGAACCCCGUCUCUACUAAAAAAAAAAAAAAAAUUAGCCAGGUGUGGUUGCAUGCGCCUGUAGUCCCAGCAACUCAGGAGGCUGAGGAAGGAGAAUCACUUGAACCCGGGAGGUGGAGGUUGCAGUGAGCCGAGAUCGCCCCACUGUACUCCAGCCUGGGUGACAGAGCAAGACUCUGUCUCAAAAAAAAAAAAAAAAAAAAAUGCCACUGGAGAGCUUUGAGGAGAGGAUCAGUCUGGCUACUGGGUUGGGAAUUAAUCAUAGCAGGCAAAGGCAAAAGAAGUGAGGUUAGUUAGGAGGCUUUACAACAACCCAGAUGAGAGAUGGGAGGUUUUAGCCAGGGAGAUGGAGAUGUUGAGAGAGUAGCUGGACUCAGGAUUGUGACAGUGGACUGAAGGAAAAGCAGGUUUUGGGGGAAGAUUGCAUUUCUCCCUUCAACUUCAGUUACGUAGAUCACCCAUAUGCCACACAACUGCAACUCUGUAACAGCCAAUUUUUAGCUUCUUCCUUAUCUAAGCCAUCCUGUAGGCCAUAGGAAUUAAAACUAGGUUGGAUCAAGGAAAAGUGAAUGCUAGAUCCAUACAAAACUAUUUGGAUAUUUGCCUUUGUAUUUUAUUGUUUUGAAAUUAUUUUUAAUGGUUCAAUAAACUCUUACUAGAACUACAAGCAAUAUAAUUAUUUCCUCUGCUUUAUUAGAAAUGUUUUUGUAAUCAUGUUAAUUAUAUUACUUUUAACUAUAUAAGGCUUGUGUCUCUUUUUUAUAAAUUGAUGUUUAUAUCCUCUGUAAGAUAAAUAUAAAGGCUUUUUGUUCAUAUGAGGAUGUGCUGUAAGAUUGCAGGGAGUAUAAAAAUUGGCAAUGGAGUAGGUGACUUGUAUUAUUAGUCUGAUCUUAAUGUUGUAACAUACUGAUCAUGCAAAAUAUAUAAUUAGUUUGUUUUUGCUAUUUAAUAUGUGUAGGACUGUAACAAACAGACUAGAGAAGAUGGCC
Homo sapiens (human) is the source of this 2941-nucleotide long non-coding RNA. The record is from Ensembl. Lineage: Eukaryota; Metazoa; Chordata; Mammalia; Primates; Hominidae.